Molecule: transfer RNA, 71 nt
Filed under: Stegodyphus mimosarum
Lineage: Eukaryota; Metazoa; Arthropoda; Arachnida; Araneae; Eresidae
Rfam family: tRNA
About the family: Transfer RNA (tRNA) molecules are approximately 80 nucleotides in length. Their secondary structure includes four short double-helical elements and three loops (D, anti-codon, and T loops).
Source: Rfam by way of RNAcentral
GCCCUUGUAGUGUAACGGUAGGAUACUCGGUCUGUACUCGAGAGGUCCAGGUUCGGGUCCCGGCGAAGGCG